GCCAGGUGUGGUGGUGCACACCUGUGAUUCCAGCAGCUCAGGAGGCAGAGGCAGGGGAAUCUCAAGUUCAAAGCCAGCCUCAGCAACUUACCAAGGCUCUAAGCCACUUAGUGAGACUCUGUCCCAA
Molecule: small RNA, 127 nt
Filed under: Marmota monax (woodchuck)
Lineage: Eukaryota; Metazoa; Chordata; Mammalia; Rodentia; Sciuridae
Source: RNAcentral